Molecule: ribosomal RNA, 458 nt
Filed under: uncultured bacterium
Lineage: Bacteria
Description: bacterial SSU rRNA
Rfam family: Bacterial small subunit ribosomal RNA
Source: RNAcentral
GAUGAACGCUGGCGGCGUGCCUAACACAUGCAAGUCGAGCGAUUCUCUUCGGAGAAGAGCGGCGGGCGGGUGAGUAACGCGUGGGUAACCUGCCCUGUACACACGGAUAACAUACCGAAAGGUAUGCUAAUACGAGAUAAUAUGCUUUUAUCGCAUGGUAGAAGUAUCAAAGCUUUUGCGGUACAGGAUGGACCCGCGUCUGAUUAGCUAGUUGGUAAGGUAACGGCUUACCAAGGCGACGAUCAGUAGCCGACCUGAGAGGGUGAUCGGCCACAUUGGAACUGAGACACGGUCCAAACUCCUACGGGAGGCAGCAGUGGGGAAUAUUGCACAAUGGGCGAAAGCCUGAUGCAGCAACGCCGCGUGAGCGAUGAAGGCCUUCGGUCGUAAAGACUCUGUCCUCAAGGAAGAUAAUGACGGUACUUGAGGAGGAAGCCCGGCUAACUACGUGCCAGCAG